AAGAAUGAAAAAAUUGCAUUGACCGCAACUAUCGGCACCGAAUAUUUACCGGAAUAGUGUGAUUUUUCAACCGUGGAUGUAUUUCAACAUUCUCGUCAUAUCUUAUUUCAUGACUUUUUGGCGUUUGAAGGUUUUACGUAUAGUUUGUUUUUGAAACGGAACAUUUACAUAACACUUGGUAAACAAGUUAUACAACAUUAGUAUGCAUGUUGUGAUUGUGAUGAUCAAACUUGAGAAAAAUAAAUCCGACCGUCAGAUCUGACCAUUAUGAUAAAAUACAUGUAUGGGAAAAAAUUCAACUUGAUCCGACAAGAAUAGGGGCUCGAUCCGGACGGUCAAUCUCGUAAGUUAAACCCCUAAACGCAUGGAAAAGGUCGUUCGACCGUCUAAAUUACGUAUUUUGGCCGGACCUCCAACUGAAAAUAGUUUCAAACCGAUGAGACGCAAGAAGUCGUCUAAAAAUUUUACGGAAAAUAACAACCGAAGAUAGGGCUAUAGUAGGUAAUAGAAAAAUUUUAGAGUUUAGCCGACGAAUACCCUAACGUAUUCGUCGGCUAUAGUAUGUAAAUUAAAAAAAUUAAAAAAUAACUAAAGCCGACGAGAUAUUAGGUUAUUCGUCGGCUAAAACUUUAUUAGCCGACGAAAUACACUAUAAUUCGUCGGCUAAAGAUGGUUUUAAGCCGACGAAAUAUACUAUAUUUCGUCGGCUAAGAUGGCUUUAGCCGACGAAAUACACUAUAAUUCGUCGGCUAAGAUGGCUUUAGCUAGCUAAAAAUAGUAUAUUUCGUCGGCUAAGAUGGGUUUAGCCCGAGCCUCACAUUCCGGACCUCUGACGCAAAAUGAGGAAACUCCCUGUCUAUAUGCUUCUAAGCCUCCCCGUCAGCAGGGUGUAUAAGGGUAUCUUCGUCAUGCAAUUCCCUAUCAGCGUGUCAUCUCAUAGCUUCGGCCGUGUGUGAAGACAUGUACAACCGCUCCAACCUAUCCCUCAAAGGGAAAUACCGAAGUAUCUUUACAGGUUUCCUGUUGCCUGCAGGAGUCAGCUUAUAUCUGUCAGUGUGACAUACCGGACAUGCGUCAAGGCCACCAAGGUC
Molecule: long non-coding RNA, 1091 nt
Filed under: Fragaria vesca (wild strawberry)
Lineage: Eukaryota; Viridiplantae; Streptophyta; Magnoliopsida; Rosales; Rosaceae
Description: long non-coding RNA (FVES_LNC005138)
Source: RNAcentral